Molecule: ribosomal RNA, 1271 nt
Filed under: Zschokkella sp. M0421
Lineage: Eukaryota; Metazoa; Cnidaria; Myxozoa; Bivalvulida; Myxidiidae
Description: eukaryotic LSU rRNA
Rfam family: Eukaryotic large subunit ribosomal RNA
Source: RNAcentral
ACCCGCUGAAUUUAAGCAUAUCAGUAAGCGGAGGAAAAGAAAACAACAGUGAUUCCCAUAGUAACUGCGAGUGAAGUGGGAAGAGCCCAACGUUGAAAUCUCUCCAUACUGUGUGUGGAGCGAGUUGUAACGUAUAGACCAUUUAUCGAGAAUCUGGGUCGACGUCAAAGUCCUCCGGACAGAGGCGCCAAAGAAGGUGAUAGCCCUGUAGAGGACGUUGACUAGAUUCGCAUGAUGAUGGUUCUAAGAGUCGGGUUGUUUGGGAUUGCAACCUAAAUAGGGUGGUAAACUCCACCUAAGGCUAAAUACGAACACGAAGCCGAUAGCGAACAAGUACCGUGAGGGAAAGUUGAAAAGAACUCUGAGAAGAGAGUUAAAAGUACGUGAAACCGCUAACGGGGAAGCGGAAGGGCGUGUCGUGAUCAUGCAUCUCAGUGCUGCGAAUAAUUCGGCGUAAGCUGGUUAUAGCAAUGCUGCGGUGUGGAUGCGUCAGGCCUAUUGGUCACUGCGACCUAUAUGCAAGGGAUUCGUGAAGUUUAAACUUGGCGAUAUCAUGUAUAAAUGGUUGUUGGGGCUGGUAUGUUUGAAAAGGGUCGUCAUCGGCUAAAACUCUGCGAAGAGGGUAGCCGGCAGACUGUGCAUGUAACUUAUGAUUGGGGCGAAUCGCAACAAUCAUGAGGAAGUUCACAGAAUGCAGGUGAUGCCAGAUCCUGACGAGAUACCGAACCUUCCGACCCGUCUUGAAACACGGACCAAGGAGGCAGAAGCCAUAGCAAGUCGGAGAGUGAUAAAACUCGACGGCGCAGUGAAAGCAAAAAGGUGGGAUCCUGUAUAAGCUCUGAAAAGAGUGAAUGGGCGCACCACCGGCCGAUUGGGACUUUGAGCCUGAUCGAGUCAGAGCUAUAGCUGCUGAACCCGAAAGAUGGUGAACUAUGCGUGAGCAGGGUGAAGCCAGAGGAAACUCUGGUGGAGGCUCGAAGCGAUUCUGACGUGCAAAUCGAUCGUUGGACUUGCGUAUAGGGGCGAUAGACUAAUCGAACCAUCUAGUAGCUGGUUCCCUUCGAAAUAUCCCUCAGGAUCGCUGAGACAGAGUAAGGCAGUUUCAUCGGGUAGAGCCAAUGAUUAGAGGCAUCGGGGAAUGAUUCUCCUCGACCUAUUCUCAAACUACCAACCGGUGAGUGUCAGAGUUUACUUGUUUGAACUAUGACAAUUGAAUGCUAGGGUUCCAAGUGGGCCGUUUCUGGUAAGCAGAACUGGCGAUGCGGGAUGAA